Long non-coding RNA from Gossypium arboreum, 482 nucleotides. RefSeq lists it as uncharacterized. The transcript has 2 exons. The record is from RefSeq and is a predicted model, not a curated record. Lineage: Eukaryota; Viridiplantae; Streptophyta; Magnoliopsida; Malvales; Malvaceae.
UCUUCAAAAAAAAAAAAAACAAAAAAGCUCUCAAACUCUCCCUUCCCCUCUGGGCUCUGGCCAUCGGCCAUUGUGGCAGUCGCCGGUCAUCAACGACGGCGUCGCCGUCCAUGGUGGUUGGAGGUAAAAAAAGGUCAUUUUUGACCUUUUUAACUUCUAAACCCCCAAAAAAUACCAUCUUUCAUCGGAGAUGGCAACCUCGGCCUAGCCUUAUGACAGCGCGAACGCUUAAAGGUACGGGGCGAGGACGUGGAGGCACGAGGGGCCAGACGCAUGCGAGGAGGCUGGCGUGCGGCGGUGGCAGCUGCUAGGGUUUCAUUCUUCUUUUUGCUGAAAAUUGGUUUAAUUUUGGGCCAUUCGGGCUUAAGUUUUUUUAAUUACUUUGGGCUUGUAAUUUGGGUUUAGUUAGUUUGGGCCUGAUGUAAAUGAACAUUUGGACUGUUUAAUUAUUUUGUUUUAUUUUGGGUUUUUGAUUUUGUCAA